CAUCCUCUUCUUGAAUGAUGCAAAUCCCUAAUUAAAACCCUCUGGUAGACAUCAGAGUUUAGGGGUUUUUUAGGGUUUAUUAGGGUUUUUUUUUAUGGUUUUUAGAUUUUUUAGGGAUUUUUAGGGGUUUUUAGGUGUUUGUUAUUAGAUGGUUUUUAGGGUUGCCAUGGAUUUCCACUGCGGUACACGCAGGUGUAUUCCGCGUACCCCCAGUUGCUCCACACAUCCAGUUUGAUCCUUUAUUACAUUAACAGCAUGCAGCAAGUGGAGCUGCUGCAGGAGCUGGAGCAGGUGAGCACCUAAUGGACGGGCACACAAGGGCCGAGCUGCCGGCUGAAGGGCACCCUGCCCAUGGCAUGGCAGCAGAGGGCCGGGGGACAACGCUGCUCCCUUCCCCUCCCACAGGCUCAUGAGCAGCUCAUGGAGAACCGCACGGCCACGGCCAGGGAGUCUUUGUUGAAGAAUGCCCAGCAAAUACGGGCUGAAAGAACGGCUGCCCGUAAAGAGGAGCUGGAGCAGGUAGGGGGCAGUGAGGGCUCGUCCUCACAGCUCGGCAUCCUCACGCCUCCCUGCUGUGGCAGAGACCUCCUCGCGUCCCUAAUCCCCGGCGUACCUGGGACCAACCGCAGCCACCUGGUGGGUUAUCUACUCCGCUCCGCUUUGGUCUUGAGAGCAGCACUCAUUGCCCAGCCUGGAAGAGCAGCUCGCACGUGCUGAGACAGCGAGGAGAUCGAGGUCCUGCCCGAGGAGCCGUCUGUCCUCACAUCCACAUCGCUGCCACCCAGCAACCGAAGGAACGGGGUCUCCACUGAGCAGAUGGCAGCAGCACGUGGGCUCUAACGGGAUCGUCUGGUCAGCUGCUCAUCCGCCGUGCCGGUCCUCUCAUCGGUCAGGAGGGGUGCCCGCCGACGCGUGUGCCGCUCCAUCGGGCAGCGGCAGCGCCGCCAGCUCCGAUUGGCUGAGGCUCCGCGCGCGGGAGCGGCCGCCAUCUUGUGUCUCGGUGCCUCCCGGCUCUCCCUUCGUUCGGCUGAAGCCGCUGCCGCAGCCCGGGCCACCCCGCACUGGGCAGCGGCCGCGUGGCAGCCGCUGCGGCGGAGCUGUUCCGGGCAGCACGAAGACGGAACCUGACGCCACGACGGGAAGCGGUUGCUGGGACGGCGGCGCCGGAGUGUGCGGGAGAACGGGGCCGGGCCGGGGCUGGGGAGAGGAAAGCUGAGGUGGGCUGUGGGUGUAGGGGGCAGUGAGGGAGGAGUGGGGGCACUGGGGGAGUUUAGGAGGCUGUGGGGUAAUGUGUGGCCGUGGGGGGGCUGUAGGUCCUAUGGGGCUGUAGGGAGGGCCUAGGGUAAUGUGGGGCUGUGGGGGGCAGUGGGAUGGAUGUAGGGGUGAACAGUGGGGGAGAUGGGGUUGUAGUGGGCUGUGUGGGGAUCCCGAGGGAUAGGAGGAAAUGGGUGGCUGUGAGGGAAUGUGGGGUCUGCCGGUGGCUGUAGGGGAUAUGGGAUGUAGGUAGGUGAAGUGGGAGUGUAGAAAGGUGUGAGGGGGUUAUCGGGAGAGCUGUGGGCUCUAGGGAGCACUGUUUGGCUGUAGAGGGCUAUAGGGCUGUGCGGGGUUUGUAGGAGGAUAUGGGGCUGUAAGGUGCUAGGGGAGUGCAGGGGUAGAUGUAGGUGUAUGUGGGGCUAUGGGGAGCUUUCCUAGUGGCCAUAGGAGGGGUAUGGGGUUC
Molecule: long non-coding RNA, 1717 nt
Filed under: Coturnix japonica (Japanese quail)
Lineage: Eukaryota; Metazoa; Chordata; Aves; Galliformes; Phasianidae
Description: lncRNA (ENSCJPG00005000605.1)
Source: RNAcentral